This 72-nucleotide microRNA precursor is filed under the name Takifugu rubripes (torafugu). RNAcentral describes it as "mir-183 microRNA precursor family". It matches the Rfam family "mir-183 microRNA precursor family". The record is from Rfam by way of RNAcentral. RNAcentral also lists the same sequence under 2 other names. Lineage: Eukaryota; Metazoa; Chordata; Actinopteri; Tetraodontiformes; Tetraodontidae.
UUCUGUUUAUGGCACUGGUAGAAUUCACUGUCACAGCAUACUCAGUGAAUUACCAUAGGGCCAUAAACAGCG